GUCAGCACAUACGCGAGGACAAGUGCCCAGCACGCGUGCGCACAGAUAGAAUCCGGAUGUACGCGAGAAGGAGCGACGACCGUGAAUGGGAAAUGUGCGCGUGCGUCGACGUCACAGGUCCUCACAUCUCUUUUCGAAAUGUUGUUCUGGACUUGGCUGAACUUGUAAACAAGAAAAGAUGAAGUUCAAAACCCUCUGCUUUCUUCCUACAUCCAGCAACCAGAUUAUCUUCAAUGUAUACCAAGGGUUCCACACUUUCCAGAUUUAUUUUUUGUGCAUGCCAUGGUCUAGUGAUCUAAGGAUACACAUACAAAUAUCCUGCUGAUAACAGGCGUUCACCUACACAGAGGGAAGCACCAGCAUUACAAUCAGUUAAAGUAAAAGAUGAUGUACCAUUUUUAUAUCACACACCAAUAAAGUUUCUAACUAACAAACAAAACAGUCUACAGCUGAGUUUUUC
Long non-coding RNA from Xenopus laevis (African clawed frog), 460 nucleotides. RefSeq lists it as uncharacterized. The record is from RefSeq and is a predicted model, not a curated record. The transcript has 4 exons. NCBI's taxonomy places the organism in Eukaryota, Metazoa, Chordata, Amphibia, Anura, Pipidae.